Molecule: long non-coding RNA, 1573 nt
Organism: Gasterosteus aculeatus aculeatus (three-spined stickleback)
Lineage: Eukaryota; Metazoa; Chordata; Actinopteri; Perciformes; Gasterosteidae
Source: Ensembl
CGUUGACCAAGAAGGUGAACUUUGAGCUUUUCUUCGCUCAAGGAAAAAGAAAACGUCUCCUUUUCUUCAUUUAUCGGUUACGCUGAGGAAGUGCUCUCCUUUAGGAAUCCACCCGCCGCUGAGAUUUUUCAACGUGAAAUGAGCCGUGGGCGACCCCAACGAGGUCAAGGGUCGUAUUUGGGGCCGAAAAUGGAUUUCCCACGUGUGUCCGCAGGAGUGUGAAUGAGCACGUGACGAAGGAGCACUCUGGUAACGUGGAAUUAAGAUAUGAAGUCACAUCACAAUAUUCUCUCUCUGGCGUUUGCUCUCAUUCAUUCGUAGAAACUCCUCUCAGCUGCUUUUAGCUUCCAGCUGUUUUGGCUUUAAUAAGCGCUUAUUGUAUUCAAGGAAUAUGUAAAGCUCCCUCUUGCAUCAGAGCCGCUGGGGGGGGGGGGUAAAUAACGCUCAGCUGUCACUUUCUCACGUCCGUCAGGAGGCGAUAAAGAUGAAUUAGGAAAGGCAAACACCAAAAGACGCCUUCUGAAAGCUGACGAGCUCAUUGUGAAUAUUUUUGACAAACGUCCCCAAAAGGAUCCAGAUCAACUUAUUUCGUCCGAUUUAAUCAAUUUCUUCAUUUUCCCCUUCGUCGGGACAAAGGUUCGAACUGUCAUCUACUGUAUCUGCUUCAUGCAUCGGCUUCAGUAUUCCUUGCUGUUGUUUUUUUUUAGUCGGAAACUGUGAGGUUUAUUCCCGCUUGGCGUCCUGUGGAAGCCGACCGAUCGUGAUCCACAACAUGAAGCAAAGAGUUUGGUGAAAAAAAAAAAAAAGAAAUCAGUCAAGCUUGAAGGCCGAUCUGACCGCGGGUUCGACUCCCACUUUCGGUCCGGUCGGGCCUCCACAGGCACAGACGAAAGUUACGGCCGGCCUCUGACGUGAGCACACUUCAGGGGCCGUGGGUAAUUGAGAUAUUUUUCUUUUUCUUUCCCGGCAGAAGGAAAUCACAGAGAGGGAGAGAAACGCGAGGCCGGAUCUCACACUUCAUCAGUUAAAUGAUGCUGAACCAUGUUUAGUGAAAAGGAGGAGACCUCUGACUGAUGUUAGACUUAAAUAUACAUUUUGCAGCUCUCUGCCCAUUUGCGUGAAACACAUUAAAUAAAAAAAUAAAAAAGAUAGUAUGCAGUUUCCUGUCUUCUAUCAGCAUAAUUGUCUCUGAACUCAGUCGUGGCGCUGGUGCAAUCGUUCUUGGUGACGCUGUAAAAAAAUAAAACGCAAAUGAUUCAUUUCCUGUGAGCUACUAUGAUGUGAAAUGGGCAGAGUAGAAGCAGAACAUGAUACAAUAAGAUGCCGUCAUUUCCUCUCUUUUUUUUUCUUCUGCGUUGUCACUUUACCUUGAUCCCAGCCUCUGGAUUUUUUUUUCUUAAUGUUUUUUUCUCGCUGAUGUUUUUUCGCCUCGGCCGCCAUCUUGAAUGUUGAGUAUUUCUGAUCGUGUGCUGUUGUCACUUGCAAAGCAGUGUUCGCUAUCAAGGAGGGAAAAGUACUCUUUAUGUUUGCUAUCCUGAGUACGUCCACAUUCCUAUUGUUCAUGACAUCUGUA